Long non-coding RNA from Triticum aestivum (bread wheat), 3129 nucleotides. RefSeq lists it as uncharacterized. The transcript is spliced from 3 exons. The record is from RefSeq and is a predicted model, not a curated record. NCBI's taxonomy places the organism in Eukaryota, Viridiplantae, Streptophyta, Magnoliopsida, Poales, Poaceae.
GCCCGCACGACACUGCCUCCUCGAUCCCAUCUCCACCUCCUGCGCCGCCCGCCGCCGCCGCCUCCUGUCACGCCACGCCCCGCGCCCCCUGCCGCCGCCGCCAGCUCCUGCCUUGCCCUGCUGUGCGCCGCCCCACCGUGCGCCGUGCGGCCGUCCGCCACGCUCUUGAAGGACCUCAAGGCCUGCUGCCCCGCCCAGCGCACCCACCUUGCUCAAGGUUGGGCGAGCGCGGAAGCAGAGUUCGGGACGGCAGCGGAUGGCGCCCCUCUCGGUCAUCCUCCUCCCGACGGCAGGCGAUGCAGGAGGCCGCGGAUACGGCUGCUCCCGUGUGGCUUCGACGGCGGGGUGGAGGGAUCGAGGAGGGGGAGCACAAGGCCGACGGAGAGGUGGCCGGAGAUGGCAGGCGUGGGUGUUGCGGUUGUCCAUGGUGAAAACAAGUCUCCGAUGCACCCCUUCAAACCCUAGCCGCUGCACCAGUGCAAUCCCGCCGCCGCAUCAAUGCCGCCCCGCAGCCGACAGGGACGUCACUUCCCUGUGCCCUCGCACCUGUCCUCCACCACCCCCUCGCCUCCCUCCGCUCUAGGCCGUCUCGAGCCGCCAGAAGCAACUACUGGUCUCUAGCCACCGCCCUUGCCUCACUCCUCCCGGGUCGUCGCUGCCAAGGAAGUAGCUGGGAAUGCAGCAAGCCCCGAUCUCCUCCAGAACAGCCGACGCCUCUUCCUGUAGCGAGCUCACCCUGUACACGCCUUCUGCAGGAGUAGGACGAGGCUCCCAAAUGCAGCGAGCUGCUUGCGUAGAUACUGUGUUGACUUUCUUUUCUAAAGAUUGCCCCUAAACGCUGGUGGUUGGAGAUAAAGUUUAGCCAAGAUGUUAUUCUGAUGCGGUCUUCAAUGAAUUUUUCUGAUGGAAUCCAGAUUUGGAAAGGAGGAAUAGAGUACUGAACUUUUAUAUAUCUACAUAAUCUACAUCUGAAGUUAAGAGGUACACAAAUUACUAUGCAAUGGAGGAACAGGGCAAUUUUGUAAGCUUACUACAUGCGGAAUUAUGUCGCUGCAUCUCUUUUAGUACUCAUGUGUAGAUUUUCCUACAGCAAUAUUACUUGCAUUCAGUUUUGUGUCGUCAUGGAAAUUCAGAUGGGCGUUCUGUAGCGUGUUCAGAAUAAUACUUUGCAAGGGAUAGCAGCCCGAUGUCGAGCAGUAGCAGCAGCAUGUUCUGCAGCUUCGAUGACCCUGAUGAAUUCGCUGUGGUGCUCAACUCCUGCUCGAGGGCAUGGUGGAGUUUCCCCUUGAACUCCAUGACCUGAUUCUCAGGUUUGUAAUUUAGCCUAUUUUUUGGCUGUUGACUACUGCUUUUUUUCUUUGUAGAUGUUCUGAUUAUUGGCGCUUUGGAACUCUUGUGGUCUGUAUAUCAUUGUUCUAUUGACGCUCACUUCACCUGAACGGCUGGACCAGAUGAUAGUGGAUAUACCCAGUGUAGUAUAUUGUUAUAAGGUUGUGUAUUAGCUUCCAGUGAUUUUUCUCUCACUGGUAUCUUGACAAAGCUUGAAGUGUAUGCCGAUGUCUUGCUCAGUUUAGUUAGUAAUAGUAUUAGCUUGAAGUGCCAUCCAUACUCAGUUUCAACUAGAUACCUCCAUGGAUAGCUCCCUUGACAUUAUAUUGAAGGUUAGUGUUGUUACAUGUUGCUCAAUGUUGCACUUUUAGUACUCUAGCUGCUUUGUAGGCGAAACCGCCACCACCUGCAACCGUGCCCUCAGGCUUCCCUCAGGCCGUCCUUAUCAAUUGUAGCCUCUGCUCGCCCAUGUUAAGUCCCUCCUUUUAGAAACGGCCUCCCUCGAUGGUGGCCUCCCCUGGAAGCUCUUGAACCUACAGUGGAGUCAGUUCCCCGUCAGGAGGAAAUUCUUGCGUUUGGCCGUCAGACUGUUAGUUGUAACCAUGUUAUUCUAUCAAGCUUUUCCAUCGAGUUGCCGAAACAAUAUAAAAAUAGAAGAUGUUAAAUAUGAAAGUACUAAGUUAUGUACUCUGCUAUUGUGGUUGUGAAGCUUGUACAGUCUGCUUGAUGUUCGCACCAAAUUUCCUUCAGGAAACAUGAUGAUGAGUCCAGUGCAAGUCUUCAGGUUGUUGGGCUAAUCAUAGGCAAAGAAUUCUGGACUUCUGUGGGUUUUCAUGAAAGAUUUUGGAAUGAAGAAUAGUUGUUAAGUUAUUAUUUUUGUUAGAAGAGUAGCGUCGCAAAAAAGAGAAUUGCUAGGGAAGUAACUAGAGUACAUGCUACUAUUUUUAUAGGGAAGAGCCUAAACGACCCAACUUAUGCAAUCUACAGAUGUUGCUUAUGAAAUCGGGUAUAGAGCCAUGCAUCUGCAACCAUCUAUUAGCAACAUCAGGUUUGUGUUUAUAUCUCCUCUGCCUGCACCAUUUCUUGAUCAUUAUGUUAUUUCUUUUGUCAUCUUGAAUCCUUUUUGUCAUAGCCAUACAUUCUCUUUUGGUUUAAGAAGAUAAUAAUCAAGUUUCACUAAAUGCAUCUUCUAUAGCAGUCAGAUUCUCUAAUAAUUCAAUCAUACUGUGUACUGGUUUGUAAUUUCAUUUCUUUGAUUAUUAAUCUACCUUUUCCCUAAGAUUGUUUCUCAUAGUGAACAACUGAUAAAAAGGAUUUUUAGGAAAUAGACAAGAAUGAUAAGGUACAUACUGAUGUUUUCUGUAAUUUUCCUGUGUGGUUCAAGAGAAGCGUAUUGCAGCAGAACAUCUAAGGGUGAUAACACAACGAAGAAAAUUUUUCUGUUCUGGGAGAAGAAAUUGUUUCCCCAUAGGCUUUCAGUUUAAAAGUUUCCAUUACAUACAGUUUCACUAUGUUCAUAUGAUACAUCUGUUAUCACUCGGUAUUCUGCUCAAGGGGAACUGAUACUUCCUCAUAUGAGAAUUAUUAUCCUUCUGACUAUGGCAUGCCUUUUGAUCUACCUUGGCUUAGGUAGUUUGUUUUGACUCCUUGAUUAUUCAGUGAUCUGCCAGCUAUUCUUGUAUUCAGCAACAGACUGGGUUUGCUUUGUCCCAAGAUCAUGGAUACUUGAAUGCCCUUUAUUGACCAUGUAUUUAAGAGGCCACUUCUAAUUGCUUUUGUAUUUUAUGCAUAUUUUAAGCU